CCGCGAGGUGGAGCAAAUCCCUAAAAGCCAUCCCAGUUCGGAUUGCAGGCUGCAACCCGCCUGUAUGAAGUUGGAAUCGCUAGUAAUCGCGGAUCAGCAUGCCGCGGUGAAUACGUUCCCGGGCCUUGUACACACCGCCCGUCACACCAUGAGAGUCGGGAACACCCGAAGUCCGUAGCCUAACCGCAAGGGGGGCGCGGCCGAAGGUGGGUUCGAUAAUUGGGGUGAAGUCGUAACAAGGUAUC
Molecule: ribosomal RNA, 245 nt
Filed under: uncultured bacterium
Lineage: Bacteria
Description: partial 16S ribosomal RNA
Rfam family: Bacterial small subunit ribosomal RNA
Source: RNAcentral